CAACGUGAGCGACCUGCCAUACCUGUGGGGGGAUAGCCGGCCCAACGGCCGGGUAAUACCGCAUACGAUCGUUUGGGGGCAUCCCUGGACGACGAAAGCUCGUAAGAGCGCAGGAUGAGGGGCUCGCGGCCUAUCAGCUAGUUGGCGGGGUAAUGGCCCACCAAGGCGAUGACGGGUAGCCGGUCUGAGAGGAUGGCCAGCCACAUUGGGACUGAGAGACGGCCCAG
Molecule: ribosomal RNA, 227 nt
Filed under: uncultured bacterium
Lineage: Bacteria
Description: partial 16S ribosomal RNA
Rfam family: Bacterial small subunit ribosomal RNA
Source: RNAcentral